AAAAUCCUUCAUUAUUACUCUCUCUCACGGAAAUGAAAAGAGGGAAUAAAUUCCAUGUAGAAUAACUAGGGACUCAUGACCAAUAAAAUGACUCUCUCUCUCUCUCUCUCUCUCUCUCUCACGGAAAUGAAAAGAGGGAAUAAAUUCCAUGUAGAAUAACUAGGGACUCAUGACCAAUAAAAUGACUCUCUCUCUCUCUCUCUCUCUCUCUCUCUCUCAUGCAUCAAUAAUAUAUCAUCAUCACUACAAGACAAUUUAUU
Molecule: long non-coding RNA, 260 nt
Filed under: Lathyrus oleraceus (garden pea)
Lineage: Eukaryota; Viridiplantae; Streptophyta; Magnoliopsida; Fabales; Fabaceae
Description: Pisum sativum (pea) long non-coding RNA (PSAT_LNC030947)
Source: RNAcentral